GCGGCAAGACGGAAAGACCCCGUGAACCUUUACUAUAGCUUGACACUGAACAUUGAGCCUUGAUGUGUAGGAUAGGUGGGAGGCUUUGAAGCGUGGACGCCAGUCUGCGUGGAGCCGACCUUGAAAUACCACCCUUUAAUGUUUGAUGUUCUAACGUGGACCCGUGAUCCGGGUUGCGGACAGUGUCUGGUGGGUAGUUUGACUGGGGCGGUCUCCUCCUAAAGAGUAACGGAGGAGCACGAAGGUUGGCUAAUCCU
This 257-nucleotide ribosomal RNA is filed under the name Salmonella enterica. RNAcentral's name for it is "partial 23S ribosomal RNA". It matches the Rfam family "Bacterial large subunit ribosomal RNA", at positions 2072 to 2328 of the family's 2925-position model. Lineage: Bacteria; Pseudomonadati; Pseudomonadota; Gammaproteobacteria; Enterobacterales; Enterobacteriaceae. The record is from RNAcentral.